UCUCCGGUGGCCUAGUGGUUAGGGUGUCCGCCUGGGAUGCCGGAGAUCGUGGGUUCGAAUCAUGGCCGAUUCGUAACA
Non-coding RNA from Potamilus streckersoni, 78 nucleotides. The record is from the annotation of a GenBank genome assembly. NCBI's taxonomy places the organism in Eukaryota, Metazoa, Mollusca, Bivalvia, Unionida, Unionidae.